UACGGGGGGAGCAAGCGUUGUUCGGAUUUACUGGGCGUAAAGGGCGCGUAGGCGGUCAGCACAAGUCAGUUGUGAAAUCUCCGGGCUUAACUCGGAAAGGUCAACUGAUACUGUGCGACUAGAGUGCAGAAGGGGCAACUGGAAUUCUCGGUGUAGCGGUGAAAUGCGUAGAUAUCGAGAGGAACACCUGCGGCGAAGGCGGGUUGCUGGGCCGACACUGACGCUGAUGCGCGAAAGCCAGGGGAGCGAACGGG
This 254-nucleotide ribosomal RNA is filed under the name uncultured bacterium. RNAcentral's name for it is "partial 16S ribosomal RNA". It matches the Rfam family "Bacterial small subunit ribosomal RNA", at positions 524 to 776 of the family's 1533-position model. The record is from RNAcentral.